GAUGAACGCUGGCGGCGUGCCUAAUACAUGCAAGUCGAGCGAACGGACGCGAAGCUUGCUUCUCUGAUGUUAGCGGCGGACGGGUGUGUAACACGUGGAUCACCUACCUAUAUUACUGGGAUCACUUCGGGAAACCGGAGCUAAUACCGGCUAAUAUUUUGAACCGCAUGGUUCAAUGGAGAGAGACGGUCUUGGUGUCUCUUCUAGCUGGUUCCGCGCUGGAUUAGCUAGUUGGUAAGGUAACGGCUUACCAAGGCUACGAUGCCUAGCCGACCUGAGAGGGUGAUCGGCCACACUGGAACUGAGACACGGUCCAGACUCCUACGGGAGGCAGCAGUAGGGAAUCUUACGCAAUGGGCGAAAGCCUGACGGAGCAACGCCGCGUGAGUGAUGAAGGUCUUCGGAUCGUAAAACUCUGUUAUGAGGUAAGAACAGAUGUGGAAGGAAAUGUGCACAUCUUGACGGUACCUAAUCAGAAAGCCACGGCUAACUACGUG
This 497-nucleotide ribosomal RNA is filed under the name uncultured bacterium. RNAcentral's name for it is "partial 16S ribosomal RNA". It matches the Rfam family "Bacterial small subunit ribosomal RNA", at positions 28 to 507 of the family's 1533-position model. The record is from RNAcentral.